CACGGACCAAGGAGUCUAACAUGUGCGCGAGUCAUUGGGUCUUGAUUAGGCCCAAAGGCGUAAUGAAAGUGAAGGGCGGUUCGGCCGUCUGCCUUGGGAUCCCGUGGACCUCGCGUUCGCGGGCGCACCAAGGGCCCGUCCCGGUCGCCUCGUCGACGGGGCGGAGCAAGAGCGUACACGUUGGGACCCGAAAGAUGGUGAACUAUGCCUGGGCAGGACGAAGCCAGAGGAAACUCUGGUGGAGGUCCGCAGCGAUUCUGACGUGCAAAUCGAUCGUCAGACCUGGGUAGGGGCGAAAGACUAAUCGAACCAUCUAGUAGCUGGUUCCCUCCGAAGUUUCCCUCAGGAUAGCUGGCGCUCGGAGGAUGCAGUCUCAUCCGGUAAAGCGAAUGAUUAGAGGCCUUGGGGUCGAAAAGACCUCAACCUAUUCUCAAACUUUAAAUGGGUGAGAAGUCCGGUUUGCUCGACUGAAGCCCGGACGGCAACUUGGAUGCGAGUGCCAAGUGGGCCACUUUUGGUAAGCAGAACUGGCGCUGUGGGAUGAACCAAACGCCCGGUUAAGGGGCCCGAUGCGAGACGCUCAUGAGAUCCCAUGAAAGGUGUUGGUUGCUAUAGACAGCAGGACGGUGGCCAUGGAAGUCGGAAUCCGCUAAGGAGUGUGUAACAACUCACCUGCCGAAGCAACUAGCCCUGAAAAUGGAUGGCGCUUCAGCGUCGACCCUAUACCGGGCUGCCGCGGCCGAAAAGCCUCGUGUUUUAAGCCGCGGUAAGUAGGAGGGGCGCGGAGGCGAGCGUCGAAGGUGCCGGGCGUAAGCCCGCCUGGAGCCGCCUCCGGCGCAGAUCUUGGUGGUAGUAGCAAAUACUCAAGUGAGAACCUUGAGGACUGAGGUGGAGAAGGGUUCCAUGUGAACAGCAGUUGAACAUGGGUCAGUCGGUCCUAAGGGAUAGGAGAAAUCCGUUCCGAGGCGGGACCUCUCUACGCAAGUCCCGCUGAUGACCGAAAGGGAAUCGGGUUAAUAUUCCCGAACCCGGACACGGAGAUCGUCCUCUUCGGAGGUACAUUGCGGUAACGCAAACGAGCUCGGAGACGUCGACGGGAGCACCGGGAAGAGUUAUCUUUUCUUUGUAAGGAUUCGACUCCCUGGAAUCGGCUCGCCCGGAGAUAGGGAUGGUGUUUCCGUAAAGCACCGCGCCUCUUGCGGUGUCCGGAUCGCUCCCGUCGGCCCUUGAAAAUCCGAGUGAGAGAUAGUGAUUUUCGUGCCGGACCGU
This 1269-nucleotide ribosomal RNA is filed under the name Megalopsalis tasmanica. RNAcentral describes it as "partial large subunit ribosomal RNA". It matches the Rfam family "Eukaryotic large subunit ribosomal RNA", at positions 660 to 1845 of the family's 3401-position model. The record is from RNAcentral. Lineage: Eukaryota; Metazoa; Arthropoda; Arachnida; Opiliones; Neopilionidae.